GGGUAAAGCAUUGAUAUCAAUAUAUUUGUUCUUGGCAUGGGCUUCACUUGGACUUCUGGUUGUUUUUGUGGACAGUGUAUUCACGUGAUGCUUGGGUCUGAUGAUUAUGAUUAUAAGAGAAUACUAGGUAGACAGUUCUGUCCAACAGUUGACUUAAUCAUGUUAAAGAUAUGCCUAGCUUCAACCUUUGUUCUCUUGCUGGGACACCUGGGCUUACAGUUCACUUUUGUUUGUUCUUGCAGCCUGAUUUCCAGAUAUAUGCAGGUCAAUGGACUGACUCAGCCUGUCCUCCUGCCACACCCCCCUGGGAGCCUUUGUCAUUGGUCAGCACUUUCUUCUGAAGGAGGUGGGCUCACCAUCAGUCUGGGUGUGUGCAGUAGAAAUCAGGACAAUGAUUCUGCCACAGGGGGAAGACCUCUUGCUCACGUAGAAACUGUCCAAUCCUGUGCAAUAUGAAGAAGUGAAAAAAGGCUUCUGAACAAGAGCUUACAACUGUAGGACGAGCUAUGGAGUGGGAACCAGCAGCCAUCUUAUUCAAGUAAAUGAAUUUAGGGUUUCUAUGAACUACUUAGUCCACCUUUUGUCUACGUGAUAUUCUGUCCUGUUAAAAGAAACUUAUGCUUAUUAGUUCCAACAAUGUGCAGGAUCUUGACUUUAAAUCAGAGUCUACCAGGACCUCGUUUCUUUUAUUUCGUAUCUUUAUUAUUUCACAUAACAUUCUCUUGGCUAUUAUAAGAUUCAUAUCCAUAACUUGUAUAUUUAUUUAUAAUUAAAAUUUGGUAUAUUUAGCUGGUUUAUUUAAGUGGAAUUCAUUCCAUUGACAUACUAUAAUAUCCUCCUAAUAUUCUUGUUAUUGAUUUUAGUGUUUCAGAAGUAUUAUUCAUACUGACACCUUACUGGGAAGCAAAUUUAGGUUAUAUCAAUAGAUAUUAUUAUAAUAUAGAAAACAUUAAUAUUUGAUAGUGACAUAAAUAUGACACAAAGGCAAUAAACUCAUUAAUAAACACACACAUGUCAUUAAUAAAACAUUCCAAGAUGGCAACUAAGAAUUUUCAGCUCUUGUUUUUAAAGUUCCCCUUUCAUUUACCAAGUGUAUAUGGAGUGUUGCCCAUUGUUCACAAAAGGUAUUCUCAGUUAAUGACAUUGGUCCUCUUUUAAAGUAAUGCAGAAGUUGGAAAUAAUUAAAAU
Long non-coding RNA from Capra hircus (goat), 1188 nucleotides. The record is from Ensembl. Lineage: Eukaryota; Metazoa; Chordata; Mammalia; Artiodactyla; Bovidae.